AUUGAACGCUGGCGGCAGGCCUAACACAUGCAAGUCGAGCGGAUGAAGGGAGCUUGCUCCUGGAUUCAGCGGCGGACGGGUGAGUAAUGCCUAGGAAUCUGCCUGGUAGUGGGGUAUAACGUCCGCAAACGGGCGCUAAUACCGCAUACGUCCUGAGGGAGAAAGUGGGGGAUCUUCGGACCUCACGCUAUCAGAUGAGCCUAGGUCGGAUUAGCUAGUUGGUGGGGUGAAGGCCUACCAAGGCGACGAUCGGUAACUGGUCUGAGAGGAUGAUCAGUCACACUGGAACUGAGACACGGACCAGACGCCUACGGGACGCAGCAGUGGGGAAUAUUGGACAGUGGGCGAAAGCCUGAUCCAGCCAGGCCGCGUGUGUGAAGAAGGUCUUCGGAUUGUAAAGAACUUUAAGUGGGGAGGAAGGGCAGUAAGUUAAUACCUUGCUGUUUUGACGGUACCAACAGAAUAAGCACCGGCUAACUUCGUG
RNAcentral lists this ribosomal RNA (484 nucleotides) under uncultured bacterium. RNAcentral describes it as "partial 16S ribosomal RNA". It matches the Rfam family "Bacterial small subunit ribosomal RNA", at positions 30 to 507 of the family's 1533-position model. The record is from RNAcentral.